This is a long non-coding RNA of Sinocyclocheilus anshuiensis, 463 nucleotides long. RefSeq lists it as uncharacterized. Lineage: Eukaryota; Metazoa; Chordata; Actinopteri; Cypriniformes; Cyprinidae. The transcript is spliced from 3 exons. The record is from RefSeq and is a predicted model, not a curated record.
CUCUCUCUCUCUCUCAUCCCCUCCCCUUCUCUCUCACUCAGGCAUACAUACACUUUCAUGCAGAGACGGGAGGACAAUUUUUUUUCCUCGCCCAGGUCGUUUUAAACCGUUCUAGAGAAGCGUUUAUCAUGCUAAUGUCUCUUGGUUUACUGCUAUUUCAACAGCCUAACAAAAUUUGAAGCCUGUCAUUUUAAUUAAGUCGUCACUUGACUGCGUAUAUAUAUAUAUAUUUUCCAAUACAUGCUCUCAGGAGGAUAUAUAGUCGCAUCCAGUUUGAACAACUGAAGGAAGCUCUUCAUACGGAAGACUGGAUUUGUGUUUCGAGGCUUUAGUCGCCUGAGGCGCUUUCGUCUGUUUUAUUAAGCACCUGCCAGCAAAAUGUCUGCCCCAGAUGCCAAUGCAAGCCCUGGAGCCCCAGAGGGUGAAGGGGGCCCUCCCGCCCCACCCAACCUCACCAGCAACC